CAAUAGCGUAUAUUAAAGUUGUUGCAGUUAAAAAGCUCGUAGUUGGAUUUCUGGUGGGAGCGAUCGGUCUGGCGCUUAGCGCGAGUACUUGCAUCGUCUCCGGCCAUCCUUGGGGAGAGUCUGUCUGGCAUUAGGUUGUCGGGCAGAGGAUCCUCAUCGUUUACUGUGAAAAAAUUAGAGUGUUCAAAGCAGGCUUAUGCCGUUGAAUAUAUUAGCAUGGAAUAAUAAGAUAGGACUUUGGUACUAUUUUGUUGGUUUGCGCACCAAAGUAAUGAUUAAUAGGGACAGUUGGGGGUAUUCGUAUUCCGUUGUCAGAGGUGAAAUUCUUGGAUUUACGGAAGACGAACUACUGCGAAAGCAUUUACCAAGGAUGUUUUCAAUAA
This 383-nucleotide ribosomal RNA is filed under the name uncultured eukaryote. RNAcentral describes it as "partial 18S ribosomal RNA". It matches the Rfam family "Eukaryotic small subunit ribosomal RNA", at positions 592 to 976 of the family's 1831-position model. The record is from RNAcentral.